AAAAAAAAUACAAAAAAAA
Molecule: small RNA, 19 nt
Filed under: Arabidopsis thaliana (thale cress)
Lineage: Eukaryota; Viridiplantae; Streptophyta; Magnoliopsida; Brassicales; Brassicaceae
Description: ATSL233490
Source: RNAcentral